AACGAACGCUGACGGCAUGCCUAACACGUGCAAGUCGAACGAAGCCUUCGGGCUUAGUGGCGCACGGGUGCGUAACGCGUGGGAAUCUGCCCCUUGCUUCGGAAUAACAGUUAGAAAUGACUGCUAAUACCGGAUGAAGUCUUCGGACCAAAGAUUUAUCGGCAAGGGAUGAGCCCGCGUAGGAUUAGGUAGUUGGUGGGGUAAAGGCCUACCAAGCCGACGAUCCUUAGCUGGUCUGAGAGGAUGAUCAGCCACACUGGGACUGAGACACGGCCCAGACUCCUACGGGAGGCAGCAGUGGGGAAUAUUGGACAAUGGACGCAAGUCUGAUCCAGCAAUGCCGCGUGAGUGAUGAAGGCCUUAGGGUUGUAAAGCUCUUUUACCAGGGAUGAUAAUGACAGUACCUGGAGAAUAAGCUCCGGCUAACUCCGUG
RNAcentral lists this ribosomal RNA (433 nucleotides) under uncultured bacterium. RNAcentral describes it as "partial 16S ribosomal RNA". It matches the Rfam family "Bacterial small subunit ribosomal RNA", at positions 29 to 507 of the family's 1533-position model. The record is from RNAcentral.